GGCCCAGACUCCUACGGGAGGCAGCAGUGGGGGAUAUUGCACAAUGGGGGAAACCCUGAUGCAGCGACGCCGCGUGUGGGAAGACGGUCCUCUGGAUUGUAAACCACUGUCCCCAGGGACGAAGAUGACGGUACCUGGGGAGGAAGCUCCGGCUAACUACGUGCCAGCAGCCGCGGUAAUACGUAGGGAGCGAGCGUUGUCCGGAUUUACUGGGUGUAAAGGGCGUGUAGGCGGGACUGCAAGUCAGAUGUGAAAAUUAUGGGCUCAACCCAUAACCUGCAUUUGAAACUGUAGUUCUUGAGUGAUGGAGAGGCAGGCGGAAUUCCGUGUGUAGCGGUGAAAUGCGUAGAUAUACGGAGGAACACCAGUGGCGAAGGCGGCCUGCUGGACAUUAACUGACGCUGAGGCGCGAAAGCGUGGGGAGCAAACAGGAUUAGAUACCCGCGUAC
This 449-nucleotide ribosomal RNA is filed under the name uncultured bacterium. RNAcentral's name for it is "bacterial SSU rRNA". It matches the Rfam family "Bacterial small subunit ribosomal RNA", at positions 328 to 793 of the family's 1533-position model. The record is from RNAcentral.